RNAcentral lists this ribosomal RNA (2904 nucleotides) under Escherichia coli. RNAcentral describes it as "23S ribosomal RNA". It matches the Rfam family "Bacterial large subunit ribosomal RNA". Lineage: Bacteria; Pseudomonadati; Pseudomonadota; Gammaproteobacteria; Enterobacterales; Enterobacteriaceae. The record is from RNAcentral.
UUAAGCGACUAAGCGUACACGGUGGAUGCCCUGGCAGUCAGAGGCGAUGAAGGACGUGCUAAUCUGCGAUAAGCGUCGGUAAGGUGAUAUGAACCGUUAUAACCGGCGAUUUCCGAAUGGGGAAACCCAGUGUGUUUCGACACACUAUCAUUAACUGAAUCCAUAGGUUAAUGAGGCGAACCGGGGGAACUGAAACAUCUAAGUACCCCGAGGAAAAGAAAUCAACCGAGAUUCCCCCAGUAGCGGCGAGCGAACGGGGAGCAGCCCAGAGUCUGAAUCAGUGUGUGUGUUAGUGGAAGCGUCUGGAAAGGCGCGCGAUACAGGGUGACAGCCCCGUACACAAAAAUGCACAUAUUGUGAGCUCGAUGAGUAGGGCGGGACACGUGGUAUCCUGUCUGAAUAUGGGGGGACCAUCCUCCAAGGCUAAAUACUCCUGACUGACCGAUAGUGAACCAGUACCGUGAGGGAAAGGCGAAAAGAACCCCGGCGAGGGGAGUGAAAAAGAACCUGAAACCGUGUACGUACAAGCAGUGGGAGCACGCUUAGGCGUGUGACUGCGUACCUUUUGUAUAAUGGGUCAGCGACUUAUAUUCUGUAGCAAGGUUAACCGAAUAGGGGAGCCGAAGGGAAACCGAGUCUUAACUGGGCGUUAAGUUGCAGGGUAUAGACCCGAAACCCGGUGAUCUAGCCAUGGGCAGGUUGAAGGUUGGGUAACACUAACUGGAGGACCGAACCGACUAAUGUUGAAAAAUUAGCGGAUGACUUGUGGCUGGGGGUGAAAGGCCAAUCAAACCGGGAGAUAGCUGGUUCUCCCCGAAAGCUAUUUAGGUAGCGCCUCGUGAAUUCAUCUCCGGGGGUAGAGCACUGUUUCGGCAAGGGGGUCAUCCCGACUUACCAACCCGAUGCAAACUGCGAAUACCGGAGAAUGUUAUCACGGGAGACACACGGCGGGUGCUAACGUCCGUCGUGAAGAGGGAAACAACCCAGACCGCCAGCUAAGGUCCCAAAGUCAUGGUUAAGUGGGAAACGAUGUGGGAAGGCCCAGACAGCCAGGAUGUUGGCUUAGAAGCAGCCAUCAUUUAAAGAAAGCGUAAUAGCUCACUGGUCGAGUCGGCCUGCGCGGAAGAUGUAACGGGGCUAAACCAUGCACCGAAGCUGCGGCAGCGACGCUUAUGCGUUGUUGGGUAGGGGAGCGUUCUGUAAGCCUGUGAAGGUGUGCUGUGAGGCAUGCUGGAGGUAUCAGAAGUGCGAAUGCUGACAUAAGUAACGAUAAAGCGGGUGAAAAGCCCGCUCGCCGGAAGACCAAGGGUUCCUGUCCAACGUUAAUCGGGGCAGGGUGAGUCGACCCCUAAGGCGAGGCCGAAAGGCGUAGUCGAUGGGAAACAGGUUAAUAUUCCUGUACUUGGUGUUACUGCGAAGGGGGGACGGAGAAGGCUAUGUUGGCCGGGCGACGGUUGUCCCGGUUUAAGCGUGUAGGCUGGUUUUCCAGGCAAAUCCGGAAAAUCAAGGCUGAGGCGUGAUGACGAGGCACUACGGUGCUGAAGCAACAAAUGCCCUGCUUCCAGGAAAAGCCUCUAAGCAUCAGGUAACAUCAAAUCGUACCCCAAACCGACACAGGUGGUCAGGUAGAGAAUACCAAGGCGCUUGAGAGAACUCGGGUGAAGGAACUAGGCAAAAUGGUGCCGUAACUUCGGGAGAAGGCACGCUGAUAUGUAGGUGAAGCGACUUGCUCGUGGAGCUGAAAUCAGUCGAAGAUACCAGCUGGCUGCAACUGUUUAUUAAAAACACAGCACUGUGCAAACACGAAAGUGGACGUAUACGGUGUGACGCCUGCCCGGUGCCGGAAGGUUAAUUGAUGGGGUUAGCGGUAACGCGAAGCUCUUGAUCGAAGCCCCGGUAAACGGCGGCCGUAACUAUAACGGUCCUAAGGUAGCGAAAUUCCUUGUCGGGUAAGUUCCGACCUGCACGAAUGGCGUAAUGAUGGCCAGGCUGUCUCCACCCGAGACUCAGUGAAAUUGAACUCGCUGUGAAGAUGCAGUGUACCCGCGGCAAGACGGAAAGACCCCGUGAACCUUUACUAUAGCUUGACACUGAACAUUGAGCCUUGAUGUGUAGGAUAGGUGGGAGGCUUUGAAGUGUGGACGCCAGUCUGCAUGGAGCCGACCUUGAAAUACCACCCUUUAAUGUUUGAUGUUCUAACGUGGACCCGUGAUCCGGGUUGCGGACAGUGUCUGGUGGGUAGUUUGACUGGGGCGGUCUCCUCCUAAAGAGUAACGGAGGAGCACGAAGGUUGGCUAAUCCUGGUCGGACAUCAGGAGGUUAGUGCAAUGGCAUAAGCCAGCUUGACUGCGAGCGUGACGGCGCGAGCAGGUGCGAAAGCAGGUCAUAGUGAUCCGGUGGUUCUGAAUGGAAGGGCCAUCGCUCAACGGAUAAAAGGUACUCCGGGGAUAACAGGCUGAUACCGCCCAAGAGUUCAUAUCGACGGCGGUGUUUGGCACCUCGAUGUCGGCUCAUCACAUCCUGGGGCUGAAGUAGGUCCCAAGGGUAUGGCUGUUCGCCAUUUAAAGUGGUACGCGAGCUGGGUUUAGAACGUCGUGAGACAGUUCGGUCCCUAUCUGCCGUGGGCGCUGGAGAACUGAGGGGGGCUGCUCCUAGUACGAGAGGACCGGAGUGGACGCAUCACUGGUGUUCGGGUUGUCAUGCCAAUGGCACUGCCCGGUAGCUAAAUGCGGAAGAGAUAAGUGCUGAAAGCAUCUAAGCACGAAACUUGCCCCGAGAUGAGUUCUCCCUGACUCCUUGAGAGUCCUGAAGGAACGUUGAAGACGACGACGUUGAUAGGCCGGGUGUGUAAGCGCAGCGAUGCGUUGAGCUAACCGGUACUAAUGAACCGUGAGGCUUAACCUU